RNAcentral lists this ribosomal RNA (445 nucleotides) under uncultured bacterium. RNAcentral's name for it is "SSU rRNA". It matches the Rfam family "Bacterial small subunit ribosomal RNA", at positions 26 to 518 of the family's 1533-position model. The record is from RNAcentral.
AGAGCGAACGCUGGCGGCAGGCCUAACACAUGCAAGUCGAGCGGGCACCGCAAGGUGUCAGCGGCAGACGGGAGAGUAACACGUGGGAACGUGCCCUUCGGUUCGGAAUAACUCGGGGAAACUCGAGCUAAUACCGAAUACGCCCUUACGGGGAAAGAUUUAUCGCCGAUGGAGCGGCCCGCGUCUGAUUAGCUAGUUGGUGAGGUAACGGCUCACCAAGGCUACGAUCAGUAGCUGGUCUGAGAGGAUGAUCAGCCUCACUGGGACUGAGACACGGCCCAGACUCCUACGGGAGGCAGCAGUGGGAAUAUUGGACAAUGGGCGCAAGCCUGAUCCAGCCAUGCCGCGUGGAUGAUGAAGGCCUUAGAGUUGUAAAGUCCUUUUAACGGGAAGAUAAUGACGGUACCCGUAGAAUAAGCCCGGCUAACUUCGUGCCAGCAGCCGC